UACGUAGGGUGCGAGCGUUAAUCGGAAUUACUGGGCGUAAAGCGUGCGCAGGCGGUUUUGUAAGCCAGAUGUGAAAGCCCCGGGCUUAACCUGGGAAAUGGCAUUUGGGACUGCAAGGCUUUGAGUGCGGCAGAGGAGACUGGAAUUCCUGGUGUAGCAGUGAAAUGCGUAGAUAUCAGGAGGAAUACGAUGCGAAGCCAGGUCUCUGGGUGACA
RNAcentral lists this ribosomal RNA (215 nucleotides) under uncultured bacterium. RNAcentral's name for it is "partial 16S ribosomal RNA". It matches the Rfam family "Bacterial small subunit ribosomal RNA", at positions 524 to 738 of the family's 1533-position model. The record is from RNAcentral.